Molecule: RNA transcript, 1687 nt
Organism: Salvia miltiorrhiza (redroot sage)
Lineage: Eukaryota; Viridiplantae; Streptophyta; Magnoliopsida; Lamiales; Lamiaceae
Gene name: transcription factor bHLH121
Exons: 6
Source: RefSeq, a predicted model, not a curated record
AUGAAUAUGUGAUAACGCCAUACCCCACUCUUCUCCGGCCCAGCUUAGCUGCGAUGCGAUGUCGUCUCGGCAUAGCACUGCCGCCUAAAUCCUCACCUUCUGCAAAUUCUCUAAAUCUCACACCACUAUCUGAAUAAUUUAUCCUCUUUCCACUAUGGAUCAACUCAAUCCCAACUCGCUUUUUCUGCCCGCGCCUGAUGCGUGCGUCCCGCCGACUGGCCCGACUCGCCCCAAUCCCGAUUGUAGAAUGGAACCAGAAACAAAGGACACUGUAAGUGCUCGGAGAGUUCAAAAAGCUGAUCGUGAGAAGUUGAGGAGGGAUCGUCUCAAUGAACAAUUCAUGGAGCUGGGGAACGCCCUCGAUCCCGAUAGACCUAAAAAUGACAAAGCCUCUAUUCUUUCGGAUACGAUUCAAAUGCUCAAGGAUUUGACUGCUCAGGUUGAAAAACUAAAAUCUGAGUAUGCUGCACUCACUGAUGAGUCACGUGAGCUGACCCAGGAAAAGAAUGAUCUCAGAGAAGAAAAAGCAUCUCUUAAAUCCGAUAUUGAGAACCUUAAUGGUCAGUACCUACAGAGAGUGAGGGCCAUGUAUCCGUGGGCUGGAAUGGAUCAUUCUGUUGUCAUGCAUCCCUCAUCUUAUCCCUUUCCAAUGCCCGUCCCUGUGCCAACUGGACCUAUUCCCCUGCAUCCAUCCUUGCAGCCUUAUCCUUUCUAUGGGAACCAAAACCCUGCAGUUGUUCCUAAUCCUUGUUCUACGUAUGUUCCUUAUAUGACCCAUAAUCCAAUGAUUGAACAACAAUCAACACAACAUGUCUCACAAGUCAUGCAGCAAGGUACCAGGCCUCAUGCUUCAACCAAACAAGACCCUAGAAAUAAAUCAUCAGAUGUCGAGAGUAGAAUAGAGAAGAGUGAUGACUCAAAUGACAUCACAACAGAUCUCGAGCUUAAAACACCUGGAUCAACAUCCGAACAGGAUUCAUCCUCGAAGCAAAGAAGAGCAAAAAGGGUUGUGAGGAAGGAAACAAGCGUUACAGAUGGAACUUCUUCUAGUGGAUGUUCAUCAUCUCACAGCAUGCAGGCUAUCUCAUCUAACAGUAUUGCCGGUGGCAAAAGAACAGACGACUGACUAAAGGAAGGGGAAGUACACUUAUCAAUACAACUUUUGUGUUCAUACUAAUUUUUGUAUCUUUCUCUGUCAUCAUUUUACCAUACAUGUCAUGGUUAAUGCUCAUGUCAUGGCUGGGACGAGCACCGUAUUUAUGUCAAAAUUAACCAUUUCUUACUCUGUUAGCAUCUAAGCUACUUACUCCCCAAGCCAAGCCAAGCCGAGCCAUUGUGGUUAGUCCCAUCACUUUGUUAUGAUUAAGGUGGAAAAGCUCGCAAUACUUGGUUUGGUUCAAUGGUGAUAACAUUUCAAGUCUCAGAAAAAGGAUGCUCAUUUUCAGUUGUUGGCCCUGAUCUACAUUUGCAUCAACGUGGUAUCACUGUGUUCACAAAUAGAUCUCUGUGCAUCUCCAAAAGUAUUUUACUGAAUAUUCUGUUUCAUUUGUUUAAUCUUCAUAAUUUUUGCUUGGGUUUUAGUAAUUCCAUGUAAUUUAGUUGUUGGUGUAAUUUUAUAUUUCAACAUUUUAUAGUGUCAUUUUUGUAAUCUUUAUAAUCUAUGUGUAGUGUUUUAAAUUUCCUAGAA